Molecule: long non-coding RNA, 339 nt
Filed under: Homo sapiens (human)
Lineage: Eukaryota; Metazoa; Chordata; Mammalia; Primates; Hominidae
Description: HSALNT0295266
Source: RNAcentral
UAUCAUUUUUCAUCUCAUUUCAUCUCAAUUCAUCUCAUCAUUUCAUCUCCUCAUCUCAUCAUUUCCUCCUUUCAUUACAACAUUUCAUCUCAUUUCUUCUCAUCUCAUUUCAAUUUCAUUAUUUCAUCUCAUUUCAUUAUUUCACCUAAUUUCAUUAUUUCAUCUCAUCUCAUCUCAGUUCAUCUGAUCUCAUUUCAUCUCAGCAUUUCAUCUCAUCAUUUUUCAUCUCAUCAUUUUUCAUCUCAUCAUUUAAUCUCAUUUCAUUAUUUCACCUAAUUUCAUUAUUUCAUCUCAUCUCAUCUCAGUUCAUCUGAUCUCAUUUCAUCUCAGCAUUUCAUC